Molecule: ribosomal RNA, 253 nt
Filed under: uncultured bacterium
Lineage: Bacteria
Description: partial 16S ribosomal RNA
Rfam family: Bacterial small subunit ribosomal RNA
Source: RNAcentral
UACGUAGGUGGCAAGCGUUAUCCGGAUUUAUUGGGCGUAAAGAGAACGCAGGCGGUCUUUUAAGUCUGAUGUGAAAGCCUUCGGCUUAACCGGAGUAGUGCAUUGGAAACUGGGAGACUUGAGUGCAGAAGAGGAGAGUGGAACUCCAUGUGUAGCAGUGAAAUGCGUAGAUAUAUGGAAGAACACCAGUGGCGAAAGCGGCUCUCUGGUCUGUAACUGACGCUGAGGUUCGAAAGCGUGGGUAGCAAACAGG